GAUUAACGCUAGCGGCAGGCCUAAUACAUGCAAGUUGUACGGGAUUAUUGGUAGCAAUACUGAUAUGAGAGUAGCGCACGGGUGCGUAACACGUAUGCAACCUACCUUUAACUGGGGAAUAGCUCACCGAAAGGUGAAUUAACACCGCAUAAAAUCACAGAAGGACAUCCUUUAAUGAUUAAAUCUCCGGAGGUUAAAGAUGGGCAUGCGUCCGAUUAGCUAGUUGGCGGGGUAAUAGCCCACCAAGGCAACGAUCGGUAGGGGGUCGU
This 269-nucleotide ribosomal RNA is filed under the name uncultured bacterium. Its description in RNAcentral is "partial 16S ribosomal RNA". It matches the Rfam family "Bacterial small subunit ribosomal RNA", at positions 28 to 294 of the family's 1533-position model. The record is from RNAcentral.